Molecule: transfer RNA, 77 nt
Filed under: Oceanirhabdus sp. W0125-5
Lineage: Bacteria; Bacillati; Bacillota; Clostridia; Eubacteriales; Clostridiaceae
Description: tRNA-Ile
Rfam family: tRNA
About the family: Transfer RNA (tRNA) molecules are approximately 80 nucleotides in length.
Source: RNAcentral
GGGACUAUAGCUCAGCUGGUUAGAGCGCACGCCUGAUAAGCGUGAGGUCGGUGGUUCGAGUCCACUUAGUCCCACCA